Molecule: ribosomal RNA, 792 nt
Filed under: uncultured bacterium
Lineage: Bacteria
Description: bacterial SSU rRNA
Rfam family: Bacterial small subunit ribosomal RNA
Source: RNAcentral
AGAGUUUGAUCCUGGCUCAGAUUGAACGCUGGCGGAAUGCUUUACACAUGCAAGUCGAACGGCAGCACGGGAGCUUGCUCCUGGUGGCGAGUGGCGAACGGGUGAGUAAUGCGUCGGAACGUACCGAGUAAUGGGGGAUAACGCAGCGAAAGCUGUGCUAAUACCGCAUACGCCCUGAGGGGGAAAGCAGGGGAUCGCAAGACCUUGCGUUAUUCGAGCGGCCGACGUCUGAUUAGCUAGUUGGUGGGGUAAAGGCCUACCAAGGCGACGAUCAGUAGCGGGUCUGAGAGGAUGAUCCGCCACACUGGAACUGAGACACGGUCCAGACUCCUACGGGAGGCAGCAGUGGGGAAUUUUGGACAAUGGGGGGAACCCUGAUUCAGCCAUUCCGCGUGAGUGAAGAAGGCCUUCGGGUUGUAAAGCUCUUUCAGCUGGAAAGAAACGGUGCGCUCUAACAUAGCGUGCUAAUGACGGUACCAGCAGAAGAAGCACCGGCUAACUACGUGCCAGCAGCCGCGGUAAUACGGGGGAUGCGAGCGUUAUCCGGAUUUAUUGGGUUUAAAGGGUGCGUAGGCGGAUCAAUAAGUCAGUGGUGAAAUUCUGCAGCUUAACUGUAGACUUGCCAUUGAUACUGUUGGUCUUGAGUAUGGUCAAGGCAGGCGGAAUGUGUAAUGUAGCGGUGAAAUGCUUAGAUAUUACACAGAACACCGAUUGCGAAGGCAGCUUGCUGGGCCAAUACUGACGCUGAUGCACGAAAGCGUGGGGAGCAAACAGGAUUAGAUACCCUGGUAG